This 469-nucleotide ribosomal RNA is filed under the name uncultured bacterium. RNAcentral's name for it is "partial 16S ribosomal RNA". It matches the Rfam family "Bacterial small subunit ribosomal RNA", at positions 27 to 507 of the family's 1533-position model. The record is from RNAcentral.
GGACGAACGCGGGCGGCGUGCUUAACACAUGCAAGUCGAACGGAAAGGCCCUGCUUUUGUGGGGUGCUCGAGUGGCGAACGGGUGAGUAACACGUGAGUAACCUGCCCUUGACUUUGGGAUAACUUCAGGAAACUGGGGCUAAUACCGGAUAGGAGCUCCUGCUGCAUGGUGGGGGUUGGAAAGUUUCGGCGGUUGGGGAUGGACUCGCGGCUUAUCAGCUUGUUGGUGGGGUAGUGGCUUACCAAGGCUUUGACGGGUAGCCGGCCUGAGAGGGUGACCGGCCACAUUGGGACUGAGAUACGGCCCAGACUCCUACGGGAGGCAGCAGUGGGGAAUAUUGCACAAUGGGCGGAAGCCUGAUGCAGCAACGCCGCGUGCGGGAUGACGGCCUUCGGGUUGUAAACCGCUUUCGCCUGUGACGAAGCGUGAGUGACGGUAAUGGGUAAAGAAGCACCGGCUAACUACGUG